This 407-nucleotide ribosomal RNA is filed under the name uncultured prokaryote. RNAcentral describes it as "bacterial SSU rRNA". It matches the Rfam family "Bacterial small subunit ribosomal RNA", at positions 355 to 776 of the family's 1533-position model. RNAcentral also lists the same sequence under 1 other name. The record is from RNAcentral.
UGGGGAAUAUUGCGCAAUGGGGGAAACCCUGACGCAGCGACGCCGCGUGAGCGAUGAAGUAUUUCGGUAUGUAAAGCUCUAUCAGCAGGGAAGAAAAAAAUGACGGUACCUGACUAAGAAGCCCCGGCUAACUACGUGCCAGCAGCCGCGGUAAUACGUAGGGGGCAAGCGUUAUCCGGAUUUACUGGGUGUAAAGGGAGCGCAGGCGGUGAGGCAAGUCUGAUGUGAAAGCCCGGGGCUCAACCCCGGGACUGCAUUGGAAACUGUCUUACUUGAGUGUCGGAGAGGUAAGUGGAAUUCCUAGUGUAGCGGUGAAAUGCGUAGAUAUUAGGAGGAACACCAGUGGCGAAGGCGGCUUACUGGACGACAACUGACGCUGAGGCUCGAAAGCGUGGGGAGCAAACAGG